This is a non-coding RNA of Daldinia caldariorum, 107 nucleotides long. The record is from the annotation of a RefSeq genome assembly. Lineage: Eukaryota; Fungi; Ascomycota; Sordariomycetes; Xylariales; Hypoxylaceae.
GGCCUGGUGGUGUAGUUGAAGCACAGUCCACCCAUGAUGGUAGUUGGGGCUACCUAUUCAUCUGCCAUAUGUGUGGAUUGGAAUGGGUUCGAAUCCCAUCCGGGUCA